RNAcentral lists this ribosomal RNA (306 nucleotides) under Triticum aestivum (bread wheat). Its description in RNAcentral is "partial small subunit ribosomal RNA". Lineage: Eukaryota; Viridiplantae; Streptophyta; Magnoliopsida; Poales; Poaceae. The record is from RNAcentral.
GACGGAGGGAGUAGUCAUAACUUGGCAAGUGAAGAACUAUGCUCCAAGCUCCAAUUGGUCAAGAUGAAGCACCCACAUCCCUACAAAGUUCAAUGGCUAAGCGACUCCGGCACUACCCAAGUCGAGCAUAGGGUACAAGUUCCCUUCAAGAUCGGAGCAUACGAAGACAUUUUGGAGUGUGAUGUCGUUCCGAUGUCCGUUUGCCACCUCCUUCUUGGACGGCCAUGGCAAUUUGACCGAGGUGUCAUCCACAACGGUCGUACAAAACACUAUAGCUUCAAGAUGAAAGGAAAGGAGUACGUGCUA